This 299-nucleotide unclassified non-coding RNA is filed under the name uncultured Auriculariales. RNAcentral's name for it is "sequence contains ITS1". The stretch from base 1 to 106 matches the Rfam family "5.8S ribosomal RNA", at positions 50 to 154 of the family's 154-position model. Lineage: Eukaryota; Fungi; Basidiomycota; Agaricomycetes; Auriculariales. The record is from RNAcentral.
AAAAUGCGAUACGUAAUGUGAAUUGCAGAUUUCAGUGAAUCAUCAAAUCUUUGAACGCAACUUGCGCUUAAAAUGAAUAAUUUUAAGCACACUUGUUUGAGUGUCGGUUUUUAUCAUACUUUUGAAUCUUAUGAGUUUCAACUACAAUGUAGUCGUUACUUUAAAAGUAUUUUAUUGGUAUAAUACUAUCUACUAUCAUUUCUUAGUAUAUCUUUGAUAUGACAUAGUGUGUAUUAUACCAUUAUCACCUCUCUUCUAAAUUCGACCUCAAAUCAAGUGAGAUUACCGGCUGAACUUAA